GGACCGGGCUGCUGCCGGCGCGGCGCAAGCUGCGCCGGACGGCAACCGGGCCAUCCUCGCGUGGGCGGCCGGCGGCCCUUCACUGGGUUGCCGCACCCCCGCGCGUCCUUUACUGUGAAAAAAUUAGAGUGUUUAAAGCAGGCGUUGCGCUUGAAUACAUGAGCAUGGAAUAAUGAAAUAGGACGUUCGAUCCUAUUUUGUUGGUUUCUAGGAUUGACGUA
Molecule: ribosomal RNA, 221 nt
Filed under: uncultured fungus
Lineage: Eukaryota; Fungi
Description: partial small subunit ribosomal RNA
Rfam family: Eukaryotic small subunit ribosomal RNA (bases 109-221)
Source: RNAcentral